CCUACGGGAGGCAGCAGUGAGGAAUAUUGGACAAUGGGUGGAAGCCUGAUCCAGCCAUCCCGCGUGUAGGAAGACGGCCCUAUGGGUUGUAAACUACUUUUAUCUGGGGAUAAACCUACUUACGUGUAAGUAGCUGAAGGUACCAGAUGAAUAAGCACCGGCUAACUCCGUGCCAGCAGCCGCGGUAAUACGGAGGGUGCAAGCGUUAUCCGGAUUUAUUGGGUUUAAAGGGUCCGUAGGCGGACUGAUAAGUCAGUGGUGAAAUCCGACAGCUUAACUGUCGAACUGCCAUUGAUACUGUUAGUCUUGAGUAAGGUUGAAGUGGCUGGAAUAAGUAGUGUAGCGGUGAAAUGCAUAGAUAUUACUUAGAACACCAAUUGCGAAGGCAGGUCACUAAGUCUUAACUGACGCUGAUGGACGAAAGCGUGGGGAGCGAACAG
RNAcentral lists this ribosomal RNA (440 nucleotides) under uncultured bacterium. Its description in RNAcentral is "bacterial SSU rRNA". It matches the Rfam family "Bacterial small subunit ribosomal RNA", at positions 338 to 775 of the family's 1533-position model. The record is from RNAcentral.